GAGUACAGCCCAACCACCCUGAGCACGCCCGAUCUUGUCUGAUCUCGGAUGAGAUCAGAGUAGGUUUGAGCCUGGUUAGUACUUGGAUGGGGCAAGACCAGGUGCUGUUUGAG
This 113-nucleotide ribosomal RNA is filed under the name Amphilophus citrinellus (Midas cichlid). The record is from RNAcentral. Lineage: Eukaryota; Metazoa; Chordata; Actinopteri; Cichliformes; Cichlidae.